RNAcentral lists this long non-coding RNA (324 nucleotides) under Sorghum bicolor (sorghum). Its description in RNAcentral is "long non-coding RNA (SBIC_LNC013335)". Lineage: Eukaryota; Viridiplantae; Streptophyta; Magnoliopsida; Poales; Poaceae. The record is from RNAcentral.
ACUACGCGCAACAUGGGUGGCAGGUGAGGGCUCUUCACACUCUGCGGGACACGGUGACGGCGGGUCGCAGCCGGAGCAGUGAUGGAGUGAGUCGUUUGUGAUAUGGACAUGUUAUGGAUGUUGGAUGUUGACUUCGAUGUAUGUUGGUUGUUGCAUUUGUGACUAUUGAUGGAUGAAUGUGUGGAUAAUUUGUGACUAUAUAUACAGAUUUCUAUUAUAUAUGUUGUGACUAUAUAUGUGGAUGUCUAUUAUAUUUGUUGUUGUAUUUGUCUAAUAUAAAAUACCUGAAAAACAAAAAAAUUAAAAAAAUUCCCAGCUUUGCCC